Molecule: long non-coding RNA, 322 nt
Organism: Sorghum bicolor (sorghum)
Lineage: Eukaryota; Viridiplantae; Streptophyta; Magnoliopsida; Poales; Poaceae
Exons: 3
Source: RefSeq, a predicted model, not a curated record
CAAUGGCAACUGAAGAUGCAACAGAGAGUGCAAGUGACCCGAUCACACCGAGCUGGAAACCAGCUGACAUCUUGACCAACUGGUGUUUCUCUGCUUGUCUGAAUCCAAAUCUGUAAAGAGUAGUCUAAGGCAGUUUGGCACAUAGCAGGGAUCAACGAAGGCACAUGCUAAUAGCCUAACGGACCAGGUUCCAAGAAAAGAGAGAGAGACAGAGAGGUGGCUGCUCUCCUAUGCUAUGAAGAGGAAGAGGAAGAGAGGGAGGGCGACACACUUUUAUGUCCAGAGUUUACAGAGGGGGGAAGGUGCAGAGGCGCGCGUGUAC